Molecule: non-coding RNA, 227 nt
Organism: Penaeus vannamei (Pacific white shrimp)
Lineage: Eukaryota; Metazoa; Arthropoda; Malacostraca; Decapoda; Penaeidae
Source: RefSeq, a predicted model, not a curated record
UACCUUGCUAUGCAGGUGGAGCAGCUGCGGCGCAAGUUGGACCACCUGCGGAACACCUGCCAGGUGUCGCGUGAGUGCAAGCUGGGCGUGGGCGCGGAGGCUGACCUGUCGGCGGUCGAGGAGAAGCUGACGGCGUCGCUCGACCUUCGCUGGCCCGGGAAAAUCGCCAAUCAGCAGUCUCGACAUGUUGCCAACAUGAAGCAGUUGCAGGCCGAGGUAUCCGGCAG